RNAcentral lists this non-coding RNA (45 nucleotides) under Schistosoma curassoni. Lineage: Eukaryota; Metazoa; Platyhelminthes; Trematoda; Strigeidida; Schistosomatidae. The record is from RNAcentral.
GUUCAGCUGAAGAGUCCCAAAUAGGACGAAACGCGCGUCCCGGAU